This 76-nucleotide transfer RNA is filed under the name Candidatus Spechtbacteria bacterium SB0662_bin_43. RNAcentral describes it as "tRNA-Lys". It matches the Rfam family "tRNA". Rfam says of the family: Transfer RNA (tRNA) molecules are approximately 80 nucleotides in length. The record is from RNAcentral. Lineage: Bacteria; Candidatus Spechtiibacteriota.
GCCCCGUUAGCUCAACUGGCAGAGCAGUUGCCUCUUAAGCAAACGGUUGCAGGUUCGAGUCCUGCACGGGGCACCA